This 484-nucleotide ribosomal RNA is filed under the name uncultured bacterium. RNAcentral's name for it is "partial 16S ribosomal RNA". It matches the Rfam family "Bacterial small subunit ribosomal RNA", at positions 30 to 507 of the family's 1533-position model. The record is from RNAcentral.
AUUGAACGCUGGCGGCAGGCCUAACACAUGCAAGUCGAGCGGAGGAAGGGAGCUUGCUCCUGGAUUCAGCGGCGGACGGGUGAGUAAUGCCUAGGAAUCUGCCUGGUAGUGGGGGAUAACGUCCGGAAACGGGCGCUAAUACCGCAUACGUCCUGAGGGAGAAAGUGGGGGAUCUUCGGACCUCACGCUAUCAGAUGAGCCUAGGCCGGAUUAGCUAGUUGGUGGGGUAAAGGCCUACCAAGGCGACGAUCCGUAACUGGUCUGAGAGGAUGAUCAGUCACACUGGAACUGAGACACGGUCCAGACUCCUACGGGAGGCAGCAGUGGGGAAUAUUGGACAGUGGGCGAAAGCCUGAUCCAGCCAUGCCGCGUGUGUGAAGAAGGUCUUCGGAUUGUAAAGCACUUUAAGUUGGGAGGAAGGGCAGUAAGUUAAUACCUUGCUGUUUUGACGUUACCAACAGAAUAAGCACCGGCUAACUUCGUG